GGGCGAGUGGCGCAACCGGCGCACGCUGGCGCAGUCUUGCCAGGCCGCCUAAAGCAAGCAGUAAUCCACCGGUUCGAGCGGCGGCGGUAGCUCGGUUUCGCCCA
Molecule: transfer RNA, 104 nt
Filed under: Cupriavidus sp. D39
Lineage: Bacteria; Pseudomonadati; Pseudomonadota; Betaproteobacteria; Burkholderiales; Burkholderiaceae
Description: tRNA-OTHER
Source: RNAcentral